UCCCCGGCAACGAGCGCAACCCCUAUUGUUAGUUGCCCAUCAUUCAGUUGGGCACUCUAGCGAGACUGCCCGGUAAUAAACCGGAGGAAGGUGGGGAUGACGUCAAAUCAUCAUGCCCCUUAUGACCUGGGCUACACACGUGCUACAAUGGUUGGUACAACGAGUUGCGAGUCGGUGACGGCGAGCUAAUCUCUUAAAGCCAAUCCUCAGUUCGGAUUGUAGGCUGCAACUCGCCUACAUGAAGUCGGAAUCGCUAGUAAUCGCGGAUCAGCACGCCGCGGUGAAUACGUUCCCGGGCCUU
This 301-nucleotide ribosomal RNA is filed under the name uncultured Streptococcus sp. RNAcentral's name for it is "bacterial SSU rRNA". It matches the Rfam family "Bacterial small subunit ribosomal RNA", at positions 1083 to 1382 of the family's 1533-position model. The record is from RNAcentral. Lineage: Bacteria; Bacillati; Bacillota; Bacilli; Lactobacillales; Streptococcaceae.